This 466-nucleotide ribosomal RNA is filed under the name uncultured bacterium. Its description in RNAcentral is "partial 16S ribosomal RNA". It matches the Rfam family "Bacterial small subunit ribosomal RNA", at positions 28 to 507 of the family's 1533-position model. The record is from RNAcentral.
GAUGAACGCUGGCGGCGUGCUUAACACAUGCAAGUCGAACGAUGAAGCCCAGCUUGCUGGGUGGUUUAGUGGCGAACGGGUGAGUAACACGUGAGUAACCUGCCCUUAACUCUGGGAUAAGCCUGGGAAACUGGGUCUAAUACCGGAUAGGAGCGUCCACCGCAUGGUGGGUGUUGGAGAGAUUUAUCGGUUUUGGAUGGACUCGCGGCCUAUCCGCUUGUUGGUGAGGUAAUGGCUCACCAAGGCGACGCCGGGUCGCCGGCCUGGGAGGGUGACCGGCCACACUGGGACUGAGACACGGACCAGACUCCUACGGGAGGCAGCAGUGGGGAAUAUUGCACAAUGGGCGCAAGCCUGAUGCAGCGACGCCGCGUGAGGGAUGACGGCCUUCGGGUUGUAAACCUCUUUCAGUAGGGAAGAAGCGAAAGUGACGGUACCUGCAGAAGAAGCACCGGCUAACUACGUG